GAGUUUGAUCUUGGCUCAGAUUGAACGCUGGCGGCAUGCCUUACACAUGCAAGUCGAACGGCAGCACGGGAGCUUGCUCCUGGUGGCGAGUGGCGAACGGGUGAGUAAUGCAUCGGAACGUAUCCUGGAGUGGGGGAUAACGUAGCGAAAGUUACGCUAAUACCGCAUAUUCUGUGAGCAGGAAAGCGGGGGACCUUCGGGCCUCGCGCUCUUGGAGCGGCCGAUGUCGGAUUAGCUAGUUGGUGAGGUAAAGGCUCACCAAGGCGACGAUCCGUAGCAGGUCUGAGAGGAUGAUCUGCCACACUGGAACUGAGACACGGUCCAGACUCCUACGGGAGGCAGCAGUGGGAAUUUUGGACAAUGGGGGCAACCCUGAUCCAGCCAUGCCGCGUGAGUGAAGAAGGCCUUCGGUUGUAAGUAC
RNAcentral lists this ribosomal RNA (421 nucleotides) under bacterium enrichment culture clone ALO1_GLFRUDD03FSVY6. Its description in RNAcentral is "bacterial SSU rRNA". It matches the Rfam family "Bacterial small subunit ribosomal RNA", at positions 9 to 431 of the family's 1533-position model. The record is from RNAcentral.